This 301-nucleotide ribosomal RNA is filed under the name uncultured bacterium. RNAcentral's name for it is "partial 16S ribosomal RNA". It matches the Rfam family "Bacterial small subunit ribosomal RNA", at positions 509 to 807 of the family's 1533-position model. The record is from RNAcentral.
CAGUAGCCGCGGGAAUACGGAGGAUCCAAGCGUUAUCCGGAAUCAUUGGGUUUAAAGGGUCCGUAGGCGGUCUUGUAAGUCAGUGGUGAAAGCCCAUAGCUCAACGGUGGAACGGCCAUUGAUACUGCAGGACUUGAAUUAUUGGGAAGUAACUAGAAUAUGUAGUGUAGCGGUGAAAUGCUUAGAGAUUACAUGGAAUACCAAUUGCGAAGGCAGGUUACUACCAAUUGAUUGACGCUGAUGGACGAAAGCGUGGGUAGCGAACAGGAUUAGAUACCCGCGUAGUCCCUGUCUCUUAUAC